UCGGGAAGACAGUUGCGGCGGAUUUCGUUUUUUCAAGUCCGUUCGCUGCAUUCCCAGCC
This 59-nucleotide microRNA precursor is filed under the name Tribolium castaneum (red flour beetle). RNAcentral's name for it is "Tca-Mir-3049_pre stem-loop". Lineage: Eukaryota; Metazoa; Arthropoda; Insecta; Coleoptera; Tenebrionidae. The record is from RNAcentral.